UGACCCAUGGUGUAAUGGUAGCACUACAGGUUUUGGUUCUGUCUGUUGAGGUUCGAAUCCUCAUGGGUCAACUA
This 74-nucleotide transfer RNA is filed under the name Porphyromonas cangingivalis. RNAcentral's name for it is "tRNA_Gln_TTG". It matches the Rfam family "tRNA". Rfam says of the family: Transfer RNA (tRNA) molecules are approximately 80 nucleotides in length. Their secondary structure includes four short double-helical elements and three loops (D, anti-codon, and T loops). Further hydrogen bonds mediate the characteristic L-shaped molecular structure. tRNAs have two regions of fundamental functional importance: the anti-codon, which is responsible for specific mRNA codon recognition, and the 3' end, to which the tRNAs corresponding amino acid is attached (by aminoacyl-tRNA synthetases). tRNAs cope with the degeneracy of the genetic code in two manners: having more than one tRNA (with a specific anti-codon) for a particular amino acid; and 'wobble' base-pairing, i.e. permitting non-standard base-pairing at the 3rd anti-codon position. Lineage: Bacteria; Pseudomonadati; Bacteroidota; Bacteroidia; Bacteroidales; Porphyromonadaceae. The record is from RNAcentral.